UUAAAUUGAAGAGUUUGAUCAUGGCUCAGAUUGAACGCUGGCGGCAGGCCUAACACAUGCAAGUCGAACGGUAACAGGAAACAGCUUGCUGUUUCGCUGACGAGUGGCGGACGGGUGAGUAAU
RNAcentral lists this ribosomal RNA (123 nucleotides) under Escherichia coli. Its description in RNAcentral is "partial 16S ribosomal RNA". It matches the Rfam family "Bacterial small subunit ribosomal RNA", at positions 1 to 114 of the family's 1533-position model. RNAcentral also lists the same sequence under 1 other name. Lineage: Bacteria; Pseudomonadati; Pseudomonadota; Gammaproteobacteria; Enterobacterales; Enterobacteriaceae. The record is from RNAcentral.